Molecule: ribosomal RNA, 464 nt
Filed under: uncultured bacterium
Lineage: Bacteria
Description: bacterial SSU rRNA
Rfam family: Bacterial small subunit ribosomal RNA
Source: RNAcentral
UGGGGAAUAUUGGACAAUGGGGGGAACCCUGAUCCAGCGACGCCGCGUGUGUGAAGAAGGCCUGCGGGUUGUAAAGCACUUUCGGUGGGAACGAAAUAUGCCGGGCUAAUACCCCGGUAGGCUGACGUUACUCAAUGAAGAAGCACCGGCUAACUCUGUGCCAGCAGCCGCGGUAAUACAGAGGGUGCGAGCGUUAAUCGGAAUUACUGGGCGUAAAGCGCACGUAGGUGGCGACGUAAGUCGGGUGUGAAAGCCCCGGGCUCAACCUGGGAACCGCAUUCGAGACUGUGUUGCUGGAGUACGGAAGAGGAGGGCGGAAUUCCCGGUGUAGCGGUGAAAUGCGUAGAUAUCGGGAGGAACAUCAGUGGCGAAGGCGGCCCUCUGGUCCAGUACUGACACUCAAGUGCGAAAGCGUGGGGAGCAAACAGGAUUAGAUACCCGCGUAGUCCCUGAGCGGGCUGGCA